Molecule: long non-coding RNA, 939 nt
Organism: Corythoichthys intestinalis (scribbled pipefish)
Lineage: Eukaryota; Metazoa; Chordata; Actinopteri; Syngnathiformes; Syngnathidae
Exons: 3
Source: RefSeq, a predicted model, not a curated record
AUUUAGUCGACCUACAUGGUGUGAAGUGAGAGAAUAUCCACCGUUGAAUGUCAGAGCAUGGUAUAAGAGUUUCUGACUUGCAUAAUUCCACUGACAUUGCAAGGUUGGAUGCUGGAUGAUUGCAGAGAUCCCAGGAUCUCCUCAAAAUUCUGGGUUCAAAAUGAUGCAAGGACAAAGGUUCAAAACUUCGCGUGCAAGAAUUCAUGCAACGUCUGGAUCCACCGGGAAUUGUCCGCACACUACAACUACAAACUGUUCGGCAUAGAAGAUAUUCUGUGCCAGCCCCCAACAGUCAAAGGCAUAUCUAUGGCAACCAUAAACUCAUAAAUUAAGGCUCUAUGUUUGGAAACUAGGAAGGAAGUACAAAAAUAAAUUAAGACCAUAUUUUUUUCACCCAUUUUGGAAAGGUAAACCUGUGUAUAAUAUAGACCAUUUUAAAUUAAGUUUAAAUAUUUAAUGCUUUUAUUUUUUAUUACGCGCUAGGAAUCAAUUUUGAUUGGGAGUGCUUUCGCUGCCAGCCUCUCCCAGUUAAAAUGGAUUGGGUGUCAAGCGCUGUCAAUGGCAGCCAAUGAGUUAAAUGUUGAUGUUUAUGGCUUGCAAAAAAAAAAAGAAACCCUCAUGUUUAAUGUCUCAAAAAAAAAAAUUAAAAACAUUUUUUGGGCCUUGCAACACAUCUUUUGUUAUUGCAGAAAUGUUGGUAUAGUUUUAGUUGACACUUCUGGGAGAUGGUUGGAUGACAUUUCACCCACUGAAAUCAAAUCAUGAGGUUUGGCAUGCCCUCUUUGCUUGUUGGCUCUUUGAAAAUGGUUUAACAAGUGCAACUUCAAAUAGGAUCAUGUAAAGUGCAUGUUUCUCACACAUAACAUUAAAAAUAACCAAUAAAAGCAUGAAAUAUCCCCCGACCAAAAAAUUACACUUUGUUCUGGUACUUGAGUAAAA